This 461-nucleotide ribosomal RNA is filed under the name uncultured bacterium. RNAcentral's name for it is "partial 16S ribosomal RNA". It matches the Rfam family "Bacterial small subunit ribosomal RNA", at positions 28 to 523 of the family's 1533-position model. The record is from RNAcentral.
GAUGAACGCUGGCGGCGUGCCUAUUACAUGCAAGUCGAGCGGUAAGGCUCCUUCGGGAGUACACAAGCGGCGGACGGGUGAGUAAUACGUAGGAACGUACCCCAAAGUGAGGAAUAACCAGCCGAAAGGUUGGCUAAUACCGCAUAUGCUCUACGGAGUAAAGCAGCAAUGCGCUUUGGGAACGGCCUGCGUCCGAUUAGCUAGUUGGUAAGGUAAAGGCUUACCAAGGCGACGAUCGGUAGCUGUUCUGAGAGGAUGAUCAGCCACACUGGAACUGAGACACGGUCCAGACUCCUACGGGAGGCAGCAGUAGGGAAUUUUCCACAAUGGGCGAAAGCCUGAUGGAGCAACGCCGCGUGCAGGAUGAAGGCCUUAGGGUUGUAAACUGCUUUUAUCUGUGACGAUUAUGACAGUAGCAGAUGAAUAAGGAUCGGCUAACUCCGUGCCAGCCGCCGCCGUAA